This 270-nucleotide ribosomal RNA is filed under the name uncultured archaeon. RNAcentral describes it as "partial 16S ribosomal RNA". It matches the Rfam family "Archaeal small subunit ribosomal RNA", at positions 477 to 747 of the family's 1478-position model. The record is from RNAcentral.
CAGCACCUCAAGUGGUCAGGAUGAUUAUUGGGCCUAAAGCAUCCGUAGCCUGCUUUGUUAGUUUUCGGUUAAAUCCAUAUGCUCAACGUAUGGGCUGCCGGGAAUACUGCAGCGCUAGGGAGUGGGAGAGGUAGACGGUACUCGGUAGGAAGGGGUAAAAUCCUUUGAUCUAUUGAUGACCACCUGUGGCGAAGGCGGUCUACCAGAACACGUCCGACGGUGAGGGAUGAAAGCUGGGGGAGCAAACCGGAUUAGAGACCCGAGUAGUCC